RNAcentral lists this ribosomal RNA (174 nucleotides) under uncultured cyanobacterium. RNAcentral describes it as "partial 16S ribosomal RNA". It matches the Rfam family "Bacterial small subunit ribosomal RNA", at positions 1137 to 1310 of the family's 1533-position model. Lineage: Bacteria; Bacillati; Cyanobacteriota. The record is from RNAcentral.
ACUCUAGGGAGACUGCCGGUGAUAAACCGGAGGAAGGUGGGGACGACGUCAAGUCAGUAUGCCCCUUAUGCCCUGGGCUACACACGUGCUACAAUGGCGCGGACAAAGGGCAGCGAACGCGCGAGCGGGAGCCAAUCCCAAAAACCGCGUCUCAGUUCAGAUCGCAGGCUGCAA